CCGGGUGUUUUCGACAGGCCUAUAUAUGCAGUCGAGCGGCAGCACAGAGGAACUUGUUCCUUGGGUGGCGAGCGGCGGACGGGUGAGUAAUGCCUGGGAAAUUGCCCGGUAGAGGGGGAUAACCAUUGGAAACGAUGGCUAAUACCGCAUAACCUCGCAAGAGCAAAGCAGGGGACCUUCGGGCCUUGCGCUACCGGAUAUGCCCAGGUGGGAUUAGCUAGUUGGUGAGGUAAGGGCUCACCAAGGCGACGAUCCCUAGCUGGUGUCCUGAGAGCGAUGAUCAGCCACACUGGAACUGAGACACCGUCCAGACUCCUACCGGAGGCAGCAGUGGGGAAUAUUGCACAAUUGGGCGCAAGCCUUGAUGCAGCCAUGUCCGCGUGUAUGAAGAAGGCCUUCGGGUUGUAAAGUACUUUCAGUAGGGAGGAAAGGUGGGUUAAGCUUAAUACCUUAAUCAUUUGACGUUACCUACCAGAAGAAGGCACCGGCUAACUUCCGUGCCAGCAGCCCGCGGUAAUACGGAGGGGUGCAAGCGUUAAUCGGAAUUUACUGGGGCGUAAAGCGCAUGCAGGUGGUUUGUUAAGUCAGAUGUGAAAGCCCUGGGGCUCAACCCUAGGAAUCGCAUUUGAAACUGACAAGCUAGAGUACUGUAGAGGGGGGUAGAAUUUCAGGUGUAGCGGUGAAAUGCGUAGAGAUCUGAAGGAAUACCGGUGGCGAAGGCGGCCCCCUGGACAGAUACUGACACUCAGAUGCGAAAGCGUGGGGAGCAAACAGGAUUAGAUACCCUGGUAGUCCACGCCGUAAACGAUGUCUACUUGGAGGUUGUGCCCUAGAGGCGUGGCUUUCGGAGCUAACGCGUUAAGUAGACCGCCUGGGGAGUACGGUCGCAAGAUUAAAACUCAAAUGAAUUGACGGGGGCCCGCACAAGCGGGUGGAGCAUGUGGUUUAAUUUCGAUGCAACGCGGAAGAACCUUACUCUACUUCUUGACAUCCAGAAGAAUCUUAGCGGAGACCGCCUGGAGUGCUCUUCGGGAGCUCUGAGACAGGUGCUGCAUGCCUGUCGUCAGCUCGUGUUGUGAAAUGAUGGGAUAAGUCCCGCAACGAGCGCAACUCAUUAUCCUUUGUCUGGCCAGCACGUAAUGGGUGCGAACUCCAGGGAGACCUGCCCGAUGAUAAACCGGAGGAAGGUGGAGACGACGUCAAGUCAUCAUGACCCUUACGGAGUAGGACUACACACCGUGUGUGCUACAAUGGCGUCAUGCCACAGAAUCGGGCAGCGAUACCGCGAGGUGGAGCGAAUCUCACAAAGUACGUCGUAGUCCGGAUUGGAGUCUGCAACUCGACUCCAUGAAGUCGGAAUCGCUAGUAAUCGCAAAUCAGAAUGUUGCGGUGAAUACGUUCCCGGGCCUUGUACACACCGCCCGUCACACCAUGGGAGUGGGCUGCAAAAGAAGCAGGUAGUUUAACCUCGGGAGGACGCUAGCUCAGUGAUUUAUUACUGUGG
This 1504-nucleotide ribosomal RNA is filed under the name Vibrio sp. RNAcentral describes it as "bacterial SSU rRNA". It matches the Rfam family "Bacterial small subunit ribosomal RNA". The record is from RNAcentral. Lineage: Bacteria; Pseudomonadati; Pseudomonadota; Gammaproteobacteria; Vibrionales; Vibrionaceae.